Molecule: long non-coding RNA, 2589 nt
Filed under: Anas platyrhynchos platyrhynchos (common mallard)
Lineage: Eukaryota; Metazoa; Chordata; Aves; Anseriformes; Anatidae
Description: lncRNA (ENSAPLG00000022528.1)
Source: RNAcentral
AAGAUUAUUUUUGUCUCGGCUUCUUUUAUAGUCUUUGAUGCAACAACCUGGUGUGCGUUGCAUCAAGCCUGCAGAAAAUCCCCCGCUUUCUCUUGUUUUUCCAGACAUCCUGGGCCCAGCCGACAGGCACCGCAGGCUGAAGGGAAGGAGCCGCCGGCGCCUCGCCGCUCCCUGAGGGGCGAUGGAAGGGGCGCGGGGCCGGGGCCCCUUCUGGAGCCCUCAGAGGGGAGCUGGGCGCUGGGGCCUCCACAUCAUCGAGCCCUCUUGAAGAGCAGAGGGAAAGGAGAGGAGCAAGGAAGGAAAAUCAAAAAAAUAAUAAUAAAAACAAAAAUCCCGACGACGCCGCGAUCACGAGUCGGCGCCCGCCAUCCCCCCACCCCCUACAGCCAAGAUGGCGGCGGCAGGAGGCGGUGCGCAGGGGAGGGGGGAUCCCGGCCGAGCCGCCCACACGGCGGGGCGGCGGUGAACGCGGCCAGGGCGAGCGGGGCUCCGCUGCCAUGCGAUAAGGGCGAGAGGGGGACCCAGCGCCCUCCCUGCGCCCCUUCGCCCUCCCUCCCCGCUCCUCGGCGCCGGGGGGGCAGGAGGCGCCGCCGCCGGCUGCCGUUCCCCCUGCCCCCGGGGAGCGCGGCCCCCCGCCUGAGGUGAGGGCUGCGGGGCGCGGCGGGUGGUGGUGGUGCUGUGGGGGGGCUCGGCGGGCUGUCACCGGGCCGGGGAGCGCUGAGGAGGGUUUGAAGCGGCGGGGAAGGGCGAGGGGCCGCCGGCGUGGGCCUCGGCGGGGCUGCCCGGUGCUGCGAGCGGGCUCCGGGGCCGCCCCUCACGCGGGGCUGCGGCGGGAAGGGGGGAGCUGAGGAGGGCGGGCGGCCCUCGCCUCGCCGCCUCCUCCCCGCGCCGGUAACUUUCCGUUUUGCUGCGGUGGGAGCUGGGGGGGAAACUUUGGGCUCUUCCCCGAGCCCUCAGGCGGUCACCGGGCUGGGCUGAGGGCCUGGAGCGGCGUGGGGAGGCUCCCCUCACGGCGCGGUCCCCUCAGCGCAGCCCCCUGCCAUGUUCCUGCUCCUCCUCCCCGGGGGGCUGCUCGGGAGAAACUUGCCGAGGUGCCCGUGCCCCAAAACGCCGGCUUUUCCAGGCGAGGCACGGUGGUGUUGAGUUCCCUGCGUGUUUGUUUUUUUUUUUUUUUUCUCGCAACUUUCCCCCCAGCAGCUCGGGUGGCCGGCGGCGGGACCGAGCCCUGACAUUGUCAGGCGGUUCCGUCAUGGUGUCGGCGUGAGGCGUGAGCCUGUGGGCCGGGGGGUGCUGGCGUUUAAUAACUCCUCGGCCGUGCUUCUUAUUUCGGGAGAAAUUUUUUAAAGUGGGCUGCCCCUGAGAGUGUCGAUUUGCUAGAAAUGAGGUCUCGGCGCCCGGUUCUGAAGUUUAUUUAUUUAUUUUUUUUAAUGAACUGAAUAGAAACGUGGUGUUCUGGACAGCUUUUUACUUUGUUUCACAAUUAUUUUUUUUUCUGGAACUGUUGCUCAACUAGAGGUUUCUGUAAAGACUGUUACAUUACGGUACGUAAUCUUUCACUUUCUGAAUGAUUAAACUCCAAUAUUUAACCUUGGCGAGUAUCUGUGGUGGUUUAGGAAAAGCGAUUGGGUUAGUCUGGCCAAGAAAGGUCAAGGGGAGUAAAUGGAUUUUUUCUGGUUUCUGUGUUGAGUAUACAAGUCUUACUUCGAGUAAGAAGAGAGUCUUCCGUUUCUCUUUUUAUUAAAAAAUAUAUAUAUAUAUUUAGAGUAUUGGUGAAACUCGAUCCUGCUUUUACAGUACUGGGGAAGUCCAUAUGCGUGUUUAAAGUGAAGGUUGAAGUGGAACUGCGUCUCUGGUAAACGAAGCAACUUUUUCUUGGGGGUAAUUGUGACUUGGCAUUGAAACUGUUUAAUUAUCAAGAAUAGGGCAUUAGUUUUUGUGGUUAACUUUAGGGGAAGGAGAAAAUUGCAUGGAGCCUUAAAGAUGGAACAACAAAAAAAAAGACUGUGCUUCUCUACAGCCUUCAGAGCUUGCAUAAUGUGCAUAUUUUACUUAUUCUAGAAGCAUUAGGGUCCAGCUGGAUGAGGAACUUUCCUCAAGUUUAUGAGAAGCUUCUGCUCCUUUGGAACACGCUUUCCCAACGGUCUCGUCUAAAUAGUGCAUUUACCAAAAGCUAGCAUAAAAGAUAAGAUCUGGUUUUGUGAACGGUAAGGCAAAAGGCGCUAUGACCAUUUUUUAAAAUACAGGCUUACUUAGAUAUGUUUUUCCAGUAUGAAGUAUUUGUUUUUCCGUAUGUAUGCUGGAGUUUUGGUACUCUUUGUGGCAAUGUGGUUGCAGGUCCUUGUUUCUUGUGAGCAGCUUUUUCUGUAUGCUUUUCCUGGAUAUUACACCCGUAUAGGGCUUAAUGGAAUUUCUAUAUGUGUUAAUGGCAAUGUUAACUACUCUGUAUUUACAUAGCCAGAGUUAAUUAUUACUUAGUAAAAGCAUAAAUAUUGACAGAGCCUGGCUUGUUCUAUAGGGCGUACAUGAGUGCAGCUGAUCUCUGUGCAGCAUUAGGAACAGCGUAAAUAAAUAAGUCUCAUUUAAGAUACA